AUGCUUUAAUAUAUUUAUCUUCUCUAUUUACUUUUAUGCCUUUAUUAUUAUCAAGUAGUGUAGUUGUUAUAUUUUGGCAUAGGAUCUCCAUUCGCAUCGAGUGCUCUAGUUAUUCAUGGUAAUUAGAGUAGUAAUCGUUAGUGUAGACGUGGUGUCUAUACUAGAGGUUACAUGAGGUUGCACCCAGUCCUGCGGAUUGUUGUGGUAGCCCUAGGGUAGUGACAGCCCUAACGGUCGACGUAUUCCACCUCGUUC
This 255-nucleotide long non-coding RNA is filed under the name Sorghum bicolor (sorghum). RNAcentral's name for it is "long non-coding RNA (SBIC_LNC014724)". The record is from RNAcentral. Lineage: Eukaryota; Viridiplantae; Streptophyta; Magnoliopsida; Poales; Poaceae.